AGUGAACGCUGGCGGUAGGCCUAACACAUGCAAGUCGAACGGCAGCACAGUAGAGCUUGCUCUUACGGGUGGCGAGUGGCGGACGGGUGAGGAAUACAUCGGAAUCUACUUUUUCGUGGGGGAUCACGUAGGGAAACUUACGCUAAUCCCGCAUACGACCUACGGGCGAAAGCCGGGGGUCUUCGGACCUUGCGCGAUUGCAUAAGCCGAUGUCGGAUUAGCUAGUUGGCGGGGUAAAGGCCCACCAAGGCGACGAUCCGUAGCUGGUCUGAGAGGAUGAUCAGCCACACUGGAACUGAGACACGGUCCAGACUCCUACGGGAGGCAGCAGUGGGGAAUAUUGGACAAUGGGCGCAAGCCUGAUCCAGCCAUACCGCGUGGGUGAAGAAGGCCUUCGGGUUGUAAAGCCCUUUUGUUGGGAAAGAAAAGCAGCAGGUUAAUACCCCGCUGUUCUGACGGUACCCAAAGAAUAAGCACCGGCUAACUUCGUG
Molecule: ribosomal RNA, 491 nt
Filed under: uncultured bacterium
Lineage: Bacteria
Description: partial 16S ribosomal RNA
Rfam family: Bacterial small subunit ribosomal RNA
Source: RNAcentral